Molecule: ribosomal RNA, 450 nt
Filed under: uncultured bacterium
Lineage: Bacteria
Description: partial 16S ribosomal RNA
Rfam family: Bacterial small subunit ribosomal RNA
Source: RNAcentral
AUGAACGCUGGCGGCGUGCCUAACACAUGCAAGUCGAGCGGCAGCGAGGGGUGCUUGCACCCUGUCGGCGAGCGGCGGACGGCUGAGUAACGCGUGGGAACGUGCCCCAAAGUGAGGAAUAACUGCCCGAAAGGGUAGCUAAUACCGCAUAUUAUCUUCGGAUCAAAGGAUUUAUCCGCUUUGGGAGCGGCUCGCGUCGGAUUAGGUAGUUGGUGAGGUAAUGGCUCACCAAGCCGACGAUCCGUAGCUGGUCUGAGAGGAUGACCAGCCAGACUGGAACUGAGACACGGUCCAGACUCCUACGGGAGGCAGCAGUGAGGAAUCUUCCAAAAUGGGCGAAAGCCUGAUGGAGCAACGCCGCGUGAAGGACGAAGGCCUUCGGGUUGUAAACUGCUUUUAUAAGUGAGGAAUAUGACGGUAACUUAUGAAUAAGGAUCGGCUAACUACGUG